ACCUGGGUAGCUCAGUCGGUUGAGCAUCCGACUUCAGCUCAGGUCAUGAUCUCGCGGUUUGUGGGUUCGAGCCCCGCGUCAGGCU
RNAcentral lists this transfer RNA (85 nucleotides) under Felis catus (domestic cat). It matches the Rfam family "tRNA". Rfam says of the family: Transfer RNA (tRNA) molecules are approximately 80 nucleotides in length. Their secondary structure includes four short double-helical elements and three loops (D, anti-codon, and T loops). The record is from Rfam by way of RNAcentral. Lineage: Eukaryota; Metazoa; Chordata; Mammalia; Carnivora; Felidae.